This 429-nucleotide ribosomal RNA is filed under the name Fusobacteriota bacterium. RNAcentral describes it as "Fusobacteria bacterium partial 16S ribosomal RNA". It matches the Rfam family "Bacterial small subunit ribosomal RNA", at positions 355 to 776 of the family's 1533-position model. Lineage: Bacteria; Fusobacteriati; Fusobacteriota. The record is from RNAcentral.
UGGGGAAUAUUGCACAAUGGGCGCAAGCCUGAUGCAGCCAUGCCGCGUGUAUGAAGAAGGCCUUCGGGUUGUAAAGUACUUUCAGCGGGGAGGAAGGGAGUAAAGUUAAUACCUUUGCUCAUUGACGUUACCCGCAGAAGAAGCACCGGCUAACUCCGUGCCAGCAGCCGCGGUAAUACGGAGGGUGCAAGCGUUAAUCGGAAUUACUGGGCGUAAAGCGCACGCAGGCGGUUUGUUAAGUCAGAUGUGAAAUCCCCUGGCUCAACCUGGGAACUGCAUCCGCUACUGGCAAGCUUGAGUCUCGUAGAGGGGGGUAGAAUUCCAGGUGUAGCAGUGAAAUGCGUAGAGAUCUGGAGGAAUACCGGUGGCGAAGGCGGCCCCCUGGACGAAGACUGACGCUCAGGUUCGAAAGCGUGGGGAGCAAACAGG